AUAUUUUACAUUGGGGGAAACCCUGAUCCAGCCAUUCCGCGUGUGUGAAGAAGGUUUUCGGAUUGUAAAGCACGUUAAGUCGGGAGGUCGGGUUGUUGGUUAAUAUCCAGCAAUUUUGACGUUACCGACUGAAUAAGCACCGGCUAACUAUGUGCCAGCAGCCGCGGUAAUACAGAGGGUGUAAGCGUUAAUCGGAAUUACUGGGCGUAAAGCGUGCGUAGUGGGGUCAGUAAGAUGGGUGUGAAAUCCCCAGACUUAAAAUGGGAACUGCGUUCAUAACUGCUAAGCUAGAGUACGGUAGAGGGUAGGGGAAUUUCCUGUGUAGCGGUGAAAUGCGUAGAUAUAAGAAGGAGCACCAGUGGCGAAGGCGACUACCUGGACUGAUACUGACACUGAGGUGCGAAAGCGUGGGGAGCAAACA
RNAcentral lists this ribosomal RNA (421 nucleotides) under uncultured bacterium. RNAcentral's name for it is "partial 16S ribosomal RNA". It matches the Rfam family "Bacterial small subunit ribosomal RNA", at positions 361 to 774 of the family's 1533-position model. The record is from RNAcentral.